RNAcentral lists this ribosomal RNA (305 nucleotides) under uncultured bacterium. RNAcentral's name for it is "partial 16S ribosomal RNA". It matches the Rfam family "Bacterial small subunit ribosomal RNA", at positions 508 to 808 of the family's 1533-position model. The record is from RNAcentral.
ACAGCAGUCGCCGCGGUAAUACGUAGGUCCCGAGCGUUGUCCGGAUUUAUUGGGCGUAAAGCGAGCGCAGGCGGUUAGAUAAGUCUGAAGUUAAAGGCUGUGGCUUAACCAUAGUACGCUUUGGAAACUGUUUAACUUGAGUGCAGAAGGGGAGAGUGGAAUUCCAUGCGUAGCGGUGAAAUGCGUAGAUAUAUGGAGGAACACCGGUGGCGAAAGCGGCUCUCUGGUCUGUAACUGACGCUGAGGCUCGAAAGCGUGGGGAGCAAACAGGAUUAGAUACCCCCGUAGUCCCUGUCUCUUAUACC